RNAcentral lists this ribosomal RNA (319 nucleotides) under uncultured eukaryote. Its description in RNAcentral is "partial 18S ribosomal RNA". It matches the Rfam family "Eukaryotic small subunit ribosomal RNA", at positions 1470 to 1796 of the family's 1831-position model. The record is from RNAcentral.
CCCUUAGAUGUCCUGGGCCGCACGCGUGCUACACUGACGCCUACAGCGAGUACUUCCCAGCCCCGAGAGGUGGCUGGUAAUCAGCAAUAGGCGUCGUGAUGGGGAUAGAUCUUUGGAAUUAUGGAUCUUGAACGAGGAAUGCCUAGUAAGCGCAGGUCAUUAGCCUGCGCUGAUUAAGUCCCUGCCCUUUGUACACACCGCCCGUCGCUCCUACCGAUUUCGAGUGGUCCGGUGAAUCUUUCGGACUGCGCGCGGCCUCGUGCCGGGUCGCGGAAAGUCAGGUAAACCUUAUCACUUAGAGGAAGGAGAAGUCGUAACA